RNAcentral lists this ribosomal RNA (138 nucleotides) under uncultured eukaryote. Its description in RNAcentral is "partial 18S ribosomal RNA". It matches the Rfam family "Eukaryotic small subunit ribosomal RNA", at positions 1299 to 1458 of the family's 1831-position model. The record is from RNAcentral.
UGGUGGAGUGAUUUGUCUGCUUAAUUGCGAUAACGAACGAGACCUUAACCUGCUAAAUAGCCAGGCCCGCUUUGGCGGGUCGCCGGCUUCUUAGAGGGACUGUCAGCGUCUAGCUGACGGAAGUUUGAGGCAAUAACA